This 72-nucleotide transfer RNA is filed under the name Camelus bactrianus (Bactrian camel). It matches the Rfam family "tRNA". Rfam says of the family: Transfer RNA (tRNA) molecules are approximately 80 nucleotides in length. Their secondary structure includes four short double-helical elements and three loops (D, anti-codon, and T loops). Further hydrogen bonds mediate the characteristic L-shaped molecular structure. tRNAs have two regions of fundamental functional importance: the anti-codon, which is responsible for specific mRNA codon recognition, and the 3' end, to which the tRNAs corresponding amino acid is attached (by aminoacyl-tRNA synthetases). tRNAs cope with the degeneracy of the genetic code in two manners: having more than one tRNA (with a specific anti-codon) for a particular amino acid; and 'wobble' base-pairing, i.e. permitting non-standard base-pairing at the 3rd anti-codon position. RNAcentral also lists the same sequence under 2 other names. The record is from Rfam by way of RNAcentral. Lineage: Eukaryota; Metazoa; Chordata; Mammalia; Artiodactyla; Camelidae.
GAGGGUAUAGCUCAGUGGCAGAGUGCAUGCUUAGCAUGCAGAAGGUCCUGGGUUCAAUCCCCAGUACCUCUA